AGUCAGGUGCCCAACCAACUGAGCCACCCAGGCACCCCCAAGAAUGCUCAUUUUUAACAAGCACCCCCACCCCAAGAGAUUUCUAUGCACAUGAUAAUUGAAAACCAUUACCUUCUUCUAAAACAUAAAACCACAUUUUCAUGACUUAGAUAAUUUAAGAAAGCAAAGUACUAUAGGAAGGGAGAUUGUUCUGCAGCUCAUUGUUUAGAAAGUACUAGAUGCUUACUAGGUUGUUUUAGCCAACACUCCCUCUAAGAACAAUGAGAAAAUGUGUGUUAGAUGGGGAUAUGAAUUUGUAUAUAUACACAGUAGUCCCCCUUUAUCCACAAUUUCACUUUCUGCAGUUUCAGUUACCUGCAGUCAAGUAUGGUCCAGAAGGAGAUAAUCCUGCUUCAGUCAUAUUAUCAGAAGGUUAGAAAAGUAAAUAACUAGGAGGAAGGGAAAUGGUUUUUGGUGUCAUAGCCCACUUGGAUGUGUCAGGGUGAAAGAUGGAUGGCUCCCCACCGCUGCUGUGUGCGUCUGUAUGGGUGCCGGAUGCCCAGGUGGCCAGUGCUUCUCAAAAGAGGCAUGUGAUUAACUACUGGUAAUCCACUUCCUUUCACUGCUACACAGCAAAACUUAUUUCUAAGAAUACUUUUAGAAGCUAAAGGAAAAUCAGUUCCGGAAAGUGGCUUUUCAGAACAAAGGAUGACACAGCCAUGUUCACUAAACUAAGAUGUGCCUGUACCCUGUUCACCCUGCCAUUAAGUGCAAGAUGAAGUGAAGGAGACAGACUCACAGUCCCGAAGGUACAAGAAACCCCUUUUCCCCCAAAUAACCAUAUCAUCUACUCUCUAUUAAUAAAAGGGAGACAAAGAUGAUUCAAAAGGCAGAGGAUUCUUUUAAAAACCAUUUGAAUUUUUGUUUUAGAGCCAAAUGUCUUCAACUUCCGUGGAUCAUGGAGCCCUUAAAACAUGUAAUUAAAGUUAUGGACCCAUUUCCCAGAAAAAUAUAUCCACACCUGACAUUUUCUGUACAAUUUUGUGGAAGAGGUUCAUGGAUCCUCCGGGGUUUUUCUCUGGGUCCCAAGUCUAGAACCACUAUUUUCAGCAAGGUCCUGGUGACCUCCAAUUUGGCCUCCUUUUGGCUCAGUACUGCUGGUAGCAAGCUGAGACUUCUGGCAGGGAACAGGAAGAAGCUGGGGCUAACCCCAGAGCCAGUAAAUCUGGGAUAACAGCAGAUUCACAGAGAGGGGCAGAAAUGAACGUGUGGGCAAAUACAUACACUGUAGCACCGUGCCCAAGUUUGCCCAAUCAGAACAAUGUUAAACAGUGUUGAAAGAUGUUGAAUUUCAUGGAAAGCCUCUGUAAAUCUCUCUCUAAAAUGGACAUCUCCUGAAAGCCCUCGGUGCAAAGUCAAGUCUUGAGAAAGCCAUCAAGACAGAAAAAGAGAGUGAAAAAAAGACGCAGGCAACAGAGCCUAGGGGCAGAUUCCAGAGCUUGUCACUUAGUGUGCAAUGUCCCUUCAGAGACAGAGCUGGGUCUGUAGGUCUCUGAGGCACGUCACCCCUCCCCCAACCCAAAGCGAUGCAGUCACAGCUGAUAAUCAUCACCGAUGACAGGCCCACUGGAGGCUCUGGCAGCACAUCAAAAGGGAGCAGGACUUCAGGGAGGCGUUCUUUGUUACAAAGCAAGGAUGGAACAACAGAGAGUGGGCUGAGGCAUCAGUAUGCUAGACUAGAACCAGUCAGAUGGUCCCCAGUACCAGUGGUCAGAAUUCCAGAUGAUGUCUCAUAGGGAAUCCAUGCAUUUGAUUAAUAGGAUGCAUGGUAAUUAAGGAAUCUCCAUGUACUUCUGUGAGAAGACCAUUGAUAUGGAAAUUGCUCUCCUUUUCCCCAUAUCUCAUGCCUGUUCCCUUUCCAGUUAUCCGUGGGCUCAGUUCAUCAUUUCAGACACUCUUUGGAGUAAAGGAACCACUGCCUUCCUUGAAAUUGGGAUCCAAAUUUUAGAAGUUAGUCUUUCAGUUAAAGAUCUACUUUAUUCUACAUAUGGAAUAUGUAGGGUUUUUUUUAAGAGAAGCCUAUUGCCAGAACGCCCUCAAAUUUCCACAAAGGAGAAAAGACUAUAUGGAGGCAUGCUUACAGAAUUGAAAACUGAGCUCUGCCUUUUAUUCCCCUAUGGGGAUGAAAUGCUACCUCUCUCUUUAAAAAACAAAAAACUCCAAGCAAAGGCACUGACCUAUGUUCCGCGCUGCCAUGAAGAUAAACAAUGAUUGGAUUGCCAUCAUGAAGGGCUGCUUCGUACCAGCAACGGUCCUUUCCCUUCGCAUCUUCACCCCGGCAGCUGGGAACCGUGUGCCUGAAGAGCAAGGAAAGGUUUUAACAAACAGAGGGAAUUGGCUCUCCUAGCCAAAGUCUGAAGCCCUCCUUACGUCAAUCGUAGAUAUAGAUUUAUAUGUUUAUAUAUGUAUAAAUAUAUAUUACAUAUUUAUGUAUAGAAAUUUCUGAGUAUUAUAUGCACCUGGUAAAAAUUAAAAUAUAAUACCACAAACAUCUUACAGUGAAAACCACUACUCUACCCCACCUCCCUCAUGCACAGAAACAAUCCCUUUUAACCAUUAAUCUUCCAAGACUGCGAAUCUUAGGUGCUGUCCAUUGAAAUGAAGUCCAUUGGGUGGAAACAAGUAAAAGACAAUAGGUAUUUGUCACCUGCUGUUUGUUUCACUGAAAAAAGCAAGUUGAAAGAAUUUAAAGGGAAACCAGUUUAGGUAGGAGAAAAGAACUUUAGUGUGAAAUGAAGCUGUUCUCCAGAAAGCUGUGACCUUGUGAUUUUAAACACCUGCCUAAACACCAGUUCCUCCACCCUGUUAAAUCAGUGAACGAAUCCUGAGGACGCAAAUCCUGCCAUAUGACAUGUCACAAAGGGACUUGGAGAAUUGGCUACGUGAUGAUAAAUCUUCAGUCCUCUCAACCGUUUAGGGGCACAAAGUCUGACAUCAAACCCAUCAGCACCGAGAGGACAGGCAUCACUGCCAGCUGGAUAAGCCAGGGCAGGAGCAAAGAAUAAAAAGAUUUUCAAAUGCCAGCACAAUUAGCUGAACCACACGGUGCACAUUAGGAAGAAGUUAUGUGAACCCAUGUUGGUUUCCACACAUUCUAGGAACACACGUUUGAACUCAGGAAGAGGAAGCAUAAAACAGGACACUGGAAAAAUGGCAGC
Long non-coding RNA from Lynx canadensis (Canada lynx), 3197 nucleotides. RefSeq lists it as uncharacterized. The transcript is spliced from 2 exons. The record is from RefSeq and is a predicted model, not a curated record. NCBI's taxonomy places the organism in Eukaryota, Metazoa, Chordata, Mammalia, Carnivora, Felidae.